AGGACGAACGCUGGCGGCGUGCUUAACACAUGCAAGUCGAGCGGAAAGGCCCUUCGGGGUACUCGAGCGGCGAACGGGUGAGUAACACGUGAGUAAUCUGCCCCUAGCUCUGGGAUAGCUCCGGGAAACCGGGAUUAAUACCGGAUACGACCACCUUAGACAUCUUUUGUGGUGGAAAGAAUUUCGGCUAGGGAUGAGCUCGCGGCCUAUCAGCUUGUUGGUGGGGUAACGGCCUACCAAGGCGACGACGGGUAGCCGGCCUGAGAGGGCGACCGGCCACACUGGGACUGAGACACGGCCCAGACUCCUACGGGAGGCAGCAGUGGGAAUAUUGCGCAAUGGGCGAAAGCCUGACGCAGCGACGCCGCGUGGGGGAUGGAAGGCCUUCGGGUUGUAAACCCUUUCAGCAGGGACGAAGCGAAAGUGACGGUACCUGCAGAAGAAGCGCCGGCUAACUACGUGCCAGCAGCCGC
Molecule: ribosomal RNA, 473 nt
Filed under: uncultured bacterium
Lineage: Bacteria
Description: SSU rRNA
Rfam family: Bacterial small subunit ribosomal RNA
Source: RNAcentral